AUGGUGACGGAGAUGGCGACGCGGGGGGAGCCGUGGCGGCGGCCGGAGGGGGAGCGGGACCGGGAGCUGGAGGAGGAGAUGGAGCUCUUCCGCAGCGGCUCCGCGCCGCCCACGGUCGAGGGCUCCGCGGGCGCGCUCCACGGCGCCGACGCCUUCCUCGACGACGACCUCCGGGCCGACCCGGCCUACCACUCCUACUACUACUCCAGCGGCAGCGUCAACCCGCGCCUCCCGCCGCUGCUGCUGUCCCGGGAGGACUGGCGGUCGGCGCAGCGGCUCCGCCCCGGCCCCGGCCCCGGUCUGGGCGGGAUCGGCGACGGGAGGAGGCCCGGCGGCGGCGGCGGCGGCGCGGGGGCGGGGCGGCCCGGAGACGGGCUCAUUGGGAUGCCUGGGCUCGAGAUUGGGAGGCAGAGCAGCUUCUCCGGUCUCAAAAAAGGGGACGGUGGUGCAACGGUGGUUGUUAACUCCGACAAAGGGGACGAACGGCAUACCAUGUUUGUUCAUCUUAUACGUGCUAUCAAACACAACCACAUCUCCGUAGUCCUGAUAGUCCCUCCACGACUGUGCAUCACACCAAAACAUACUCUUCAGUCGCCCUUCCUUGUCACGCACAUACUUAAAAAAAACUCAGGGUCCUUCUCCUUCCUGCUCCUCAUAAUGCCAACUACCGUCUCUGCGUCACCUUUUGCAAUGAGCUUCAUUUUUUCUCUGCAACAAAGAUUGUAA
Molecule: ribosomal RNA, 726 nt
Filed under: Triticum aestivum (bread wheat)
Lineage: Eukaryota; Viridiplantae; Streptophyta; Magnoliopsida; Poales; Poaceae
Description: partial small subunit ribosomal RNA
Source: RNAcentral